This 427-nucleotide ribosomal RNA is filed under the name uncultured Chthoniobacter sp. Its description in RNAcentral is "bacterial SSU rRNA". It matches the Rfam family "Bacterial small subunit ribosomal RNA", at positions 355 to 774 of the family's 1533-position model. Lineage: Bacteria; Pseudomonadati; Verrucomicrobiota; Spartobacteria; Chthoniobacterales; Chthoniobacteraceae. The record is from RNAcentral.
UCGAGAAUUUUUCUCAAUGGGGGAAACCCUGAAGGAGCGACGCCGCGUGGAGGAUGAAGGUCUUCGGAUUGUAAACUCCUGUCAUUGGUGAACAAGGCCCACGCAGUAACUGGUGUUGGGUUUGAUAGUAGCCGAAGAGGAAGAGACGGCUAACUCUGUGCCAGCAGCCGCGGUAAUACAGAGGUCUCAAGCGUUGUUCGGAUUCAUUGGGCGUAAAGGGUGCGUAGGCUGUGGGGUAAGUCUGGUGUGAAAUCCCGGGGCUCAACCCCGGAACUGCACUGGAUACUGCCUUGCUUGAGCACUGGAGAGGGAACUGGAAUUUACGGUGUAGCAGUGAAAUGCGUAGAUAUCGUAAGGAAGACCAGUGGCGAAGGCGAGUUCCUGGACAGUUGCUGACACUGAGGCACGAAGGCUAGGGGAGCAAACG